Molecule: ribosomal RNA, 350 nt
Filed under: uncultured bacterium
Lineage: Bacteria
Description: partial 16S ribosomal RNA
Rfam family: Bacterial small subunit ribosomal RNA
Source: RNAcentral
CCUACGGGUGGCAGCAGUGAGGAAUAUUGGUCAAUGGGCGGAAGCCUGAACCAGCCAAGUAGCGUGCGUGAUGAAGGCCCUACGGUUCGUAAACCGCUUUUGCACGGGGAUAACACCCUCCACUUGUGGAGGUCUGCAGGUACCGUGCGAAUAAGGGCCGGCUAAUUCCGUGCCAGCAGCCGCGGUACUACGGAAGGCCCGAGCGUUAGCCGGAUUCGUUGGGCUUAAAGGGAGCGUAGGCGGGCGUUCAAGUCAGCUGUACAAUCGCGCGGAUCAACCGCGCCCCGCAGUUGAAACUGGACGCCUUGAGUUCACAACAGGCCAGCGGAAUUCGAGGUGUAGCGGUGGAA